Molecule: transfer RNA, 71 nt
Filed under: Danionella translucida
Lineage: Eukaryota; Metazoa; Chordata; Actinopteri; Cypriniformes; Danionidae
Also listed under: 1 other name
Rfam family: tRNA
About the family: Transfer RNA (tRNA) molecules are approximately 80 nucleotides in length. Their secondary structure includes four short double-helical elements and three loops (D, anti-codon, and T loops). Further hydrogen bonds mediate the characteristic L-shaped molecular structure. tRNAs have two regions of fundamental functional importance: the anti-codon, which is responsible for specific mRNA codon recognition, and the 3' end, to which the tRNAs corresponding amino acid is attached (by aminoacyl-tRNA synthetases). tRNAs cope with the degeneracy of the genetic code in two manners: having more than one tRNA (with a specific anti-codon) for a particular amino acid; and 'wobble' base-pairing, i.e. permitting non-standard base-pairing at the 3rd anti-codon position.
Source: Rfam by way of RNAcentral
UUUCCUCGGGCUCAGUCAGUAGAGCAUUGCGCUACAAACACAAAGGUCAUGGGUUCAAACCCCGGGGAAAG